This 515-nucleotide ribosomal RNA is filed under the name uncultured bacterium. RNAcentral's name for it is "bacterial SSU rRNA". It matches the Rfam family "Bacterial small subunit ribosomal RNA", at positions 8 to 518 of the family's 1533-position model. The record is from RNAcentral.
AGAGUUGAUCUGGCUCAGGAUGAACGCUAGCGACAGGCUUAACACAUGCAAGUCGAGGGGCAGCAUAAAAGUAGCAAUACUUGGUGGCGACCGGCGCACGGGUGAGUAACGCGUAUGCAACCUACCUAUCAGAGGGGAAUAACCCGGCGAAAGUCGGACUAAUACCGCAUAAAACAGGGGCACCGCAUGGUGAUAUUUGUUAAAGAAAUUCGCUGAUAGAUGGGCAUGCGUUCCAUUAGGUAGUUGGUGAGGUAACGGCUCACCAAGCCGACGAUGGAUAGGGGAACUGAGAGGUUGGUCCCCCACACUGGUACUGAGACACGGACCAGACUCCUACGGGAGGCAGCAGUGAGGAAUAUUGGUCAAUGGGCGGGAGCCUGAACCAGCCAAGUCGCGUGAAGGAAGAAGGAUCUAUGGUUCGUAAACUUCUUUUGCAGGGGAAUAAAGUGCAGGACGUGUCCUGUUUUGUAUGUACCCUGAGAAUAAGGAUCGGCUAACUCCGUGCCAGCCGCCGC